This 898-nucleotide ribosomal RNA is filed under the name uncultured bacterium. Its description in RNAcentral is "bacterial SSU rRNA". It matches the Rfam family "Bacterial small subunit ribosomal RNA", at positions 33 to 914 of the family's 1533-position model. The record is from RNAcentral.
ACGCUGGCGGCGUGCCUAAUACAUGCAAGUAGAACGCUGAAGGAGGAGCUUGCUUCUCUGGAUGAGUUGCGAACGGGUGAGUAACGCGUAGGUAACCUGCCUGGUAGCGGGGGAUAACUAUUGGAAACGAUAGCUAAUACCGCAUAAGAGUAGAUGUUGCAUGACAUUUGCUUAAAAGGUGCAAUUGCAUCACUACCAGAUGGACCUGCGUUGUAUUAGCUAGUUGGUGGGGUAACGGCUCACCAAGGCGACGAUACAUAGCCGACCUGAGAGGGUGAUCGGCCACACUGGGACUGAGACACGGCCCAGACUCCUACGGGAGGCAGCAGUAGGGAAUCUUCGGCAAUGGACGGAAGUCUGACCGAGCAACGCCGCGUGAGUGAAGAAGGUUUUCGGAUCGUAAAGCUCUGUUGUAAGAGAAGUACGAGUGUGAGAGUGGAAAGUUCACACUGUGACGGUAUCUUACCAGAAAGGGACGGCUAACUACGUGCCAGCAGCCGCGGUAAUACGUAGGUCCCGAGCGUUGUCCGGAUUUAUUGGGCGUAAAGCGAGCGCAGGCGGUUAGAUAAGUCUGAAGUUAAAGGCUGUGGCUUAACCAUAGUACGCUUUGGAAACUGUUUAACUUGAGUGCAAGAGGGGAGAGUGGAAUUCCAUGUGUAGCGGUGAAAUGCGUAGAUAUAUGGAGGAACACCGGUGGCGAAAGCGGCUCUCUGGCUUGUAACUGACGCUGAGGCUCGAAAGCGUGGGGAGCAAACAGGAUUAGAUACCCCUGGUAGUCCACGCCGUAAACGAUGAGUGCUAGGUGUUAGACCCUUUCCGGGGUUUAGUGCCGCAGCUAACGCAUUAAGCACUCCGCCUGGGGAGUACGACCGCAAGGUUGAAACUCAAAGGAAUUGAC